UCCCUGGUGGUCCAGUGGUUAGGACUCCACUUUUUCACGGCCAAGGGCCCAGGUUCAAUCCCAGGUUAGGGAA
RNAcentral lists this transfer RNA (73 nucleotides) under Bos taurus (domestic cattle). It matches the Rfam family "tRNA". Rfam says of the family: Transfer RNA (tRNA) molecules are approximately 80 nucleotides in length. Their secondary structure includes four short double-helical elements and three loops (D, anti-codon, and T loops). The record is from Rfam by way of RNAcentral. RNAcentral also lists the same sequence under 4 other names. Lineage: Eukaryota; Metazoa; Chordata; Mammalia; Artiodactyla; Bovidae.